CAGCCGUAAACAAUGUGCGUUAGGUGUGUCGGUAACCACGCGUUACUGAUGCGCCGAAGAGAAAUCGUGAAACGCACCACCUGGGAAGUACGGUCGCAAGGCUGAAACUUAAAGGAAUUGGCGGGGGAGCACCACAACAGGUGGAGCCUGCGGUUUAAUUGGAUUCAACGCCGGACAUCUCACCGGAUAAGACAGCUGAAUGAUUGUCAAUCUGAAGGUUUUACAUGACUAGCUGAGAGGAGGUGCAUGGCGUCAGUGACU
Molecule: ribosomal RNA, 261 nt
Filed under: uncultured archaeon
Lineage: Archaea
Description: partial 16S ribosomal RNA
Rfam family: Archaeal small subunit ribosomal RNA
Source: RNAcentral